Molecule: long non-coding RNA, 366 nt
Organism: Homo sapiens (human)
Lineage: Eukaryota; Metazoa; Chordata; Mammalia; Primates; Hominidae
Source: Ensembl
UUCUGUCUCUCGCUAGUUGUGACCUGAGAUGACAAACCCUAAUCACUGCUCUCUGUUAUCUCAACAGUCAACUGAGUUUGGAUACAUAAACUAAUAUGAAAUACUUUAGGACAUGCAGAAAAAAUUUUGAAAACAGAGAAAGAGAAGCAACCCAAGGAAAACCAAACAAGAAAGCAAAAUAAAAAACUGUCUUGUGAAAAGGCCAAGGCCAUUAUUAAGAAGCACAUGCCAGCCGUCACCCAGGCCUCCUUGCAAGUUUACUGCCUUUUAUUCUACAUAAAAUAUGUAAUGGUUUAUAACUAUUUAUGGAAAUAAUGCAUGCUAAUUUUAACUUAUCCAUACAAUAAAGUUUGAAAACAAACAAAA